AACUGUUUGCAGAGGAAACUGAGACUUUGUAACUAUGUCUCAGUCUCAUCUGCAAAGAAGU
Molecule: microRNA precursor, 61 nt
Organism: Cervus hanglu yarkandensis (Yarkand deer)
Lineage: Eukaryota; Metazoa; Chordata; Mammalia; Artiodactyla; Cervidae
Source: Ensembl